This 279-nucleotide ribosomal RNA is filed under the name uncultured bacterium. RNAcentral's name for it is "partial 16S ribosomal RNA". It matches the Rfam family "Bacterial small subunit ribosomal RNA", at positions 28 to 334 of the family's 1533-position model. The record is from RNAcentral.
GACGAACGCUGGCGGCGUGCAUAACACAUGCAAGUCGAACGAGACCUUCGGGUCUAGUUGGCGCACGGGUGCGUAACGCGUGGGAAUCUGCCCUUGGGCUCGGAAUAACUCGCCGAAAGGCGUGCUAAUACCGGAUGAUGUCGUAAGACCAAAGAUUUAUCGCCCAGGGAUGAGCCCGCGUAAGAUUAGGUAGUUGGUGAGGCAAAGGCUCACCAAGCCGACGAUCUUUAGCUGGUCUGAGAGGAUGAUCAGCCACACUGGGACUGAGACAAGGCCCAG